CUGGCUCCACCCACUAAACCAAAGAAUGACAGUCAACAGUCUUGCAAUUUUUCAUACAUGGAGUAACCUAACUCUGAGUCUAGGUCUCUAAUCAAGUGACAAUUAUUCAUGUUCUCACUUCACACCCUUUUAAAAAGCCAGCCAGAUGACAUUAACCUGACUUCAACAACUGACAAGUUUCACAACUACAGAAGAAGUCCUAUUGUUCUGGCUCAGCGAACUCAGGGCAAGGCCCUUUCCUCCUCCAGAUCUCUGAAGACGUCCUUGUAGAAGAAGGGCCGGGCUUGGCAAGAUCGUCUGUCACAUCCCUUCCAGCCCUAAAAUCCUGAGUUGAGAUUUCACACAUGAGGGUAAAUGGUUAAUCCAUGAGACACAUUUCAUAAACUUUUAGGGUAUAAUAUAAUAAAGAGUAUAUAACUUCCUUUUUUGAUGAUUACUUUAAAAAAUUAGUUACUUGAUUGGUAACCCAGAGAGGUUACCAUUUUUGAAGUAUGGUGUACAGGAAAAUAAUUGUAGAAUCAUAUCAUAAUCAAAGUAUAGAAAUAAAAAUAGCUAACAUUGAGUUUUUACCAUGUGUCCGAUGCAGUUCUGUUUCAAAAUACCAUAUUUAUAUUUAUACCAAUUUUAUGUGAAGUCUCAUCAUUGGUGCCAUUAUACUGAUGAAUAAACUGAAGCUCAGACCCGUUGCCAACAUAGGCUGUAGAAGAAAAGUCGGGAUUUAGUCUCUGCCAUUCUGAAUCCACUUAACCGUCGAGCUUAUAGUCUAAAUGCUGGGAAGGUGUCAACCUCUAUGCCCCUGAGCUACCAUUUGUCACCAUACAAAAGUAUGAAUUUAAAAUAAAGGCACCUUAAAGAUCCUUCCGACUUUAAAAUUAUGUAAUUGUAAUUUAAAGGGAAAAUUCACUUAGUAGAAACUAAUUUCUUUUUCCUAUUGGUGGGAAAGAACAUUUUGGAAUUUAAAUUCCAUGAGGUCAGAGAAUUUUGUCUGCUGUAUCCC
This 997-nucleotide long non-coding RNA is filed under the name Homo sapiens (human). RNAcentral's name for it is "HSALNT0336900". The record is from RNAcentral. Lineage: Eukaryota; Metazoa; Chordata; Mammalia; Primates; Hominidae.